GGUCGGGGGAUGACGGUACCGGAAGAAUAAGCACCGGCUAACUACGUGCCAGCAGCCGCGGUAAUACGUAGGGUGCAAGCGUUAAUCGGAAUUACUGGGCGUAAAGCGUGCGCAGGCGGUUUGCUAAGACCGAUGUGAAAUCCCCGGGCUCAACCUGGGAACUGCAUUGGUGACUGGCAGGCUAGAGUAUGGCAGAGGGGGGUAGAAUUCCACGUGUAGCAGUGAAAUGCGUAGAGAUGUGGAGGAAUACCGAUGGCGAAGGCAGCCCCCUGGGCCAAUACUGACGCUCAUGCACGAAAGCGUGGGGAGCAAACAGGAUUAGAUACCCUGGUAGUCCACGCCCUAAACGAUGUCAACUAGUUGUUGGGGAUUCAUUUCCUUAGUAACGUAGCUAACGCGUGAAGUUGACCGCCUGGGGAGUACGGUCGCAAGAUUAAAACUCAAAGGAAUUGACGGGGACCCGCACAAGCGGUGGAUGAUGUGGAUUAAUUCGAUGCAACGCGAAAAACCUUACCUACCCUUGACAUGGUCGGAAUCCUGCUGAGAGG
Molecule: ribosomal RNA, 548 nt
Filed under: Burkholderia sp. IDO3
Lineage: Bacteria; Pseudomonadati; Pseudomonadota; Betaproteobacteria; Burkholderiales; Burkholderiaceae
Description: bacterial SSU rRNA
Rfam family: Bacterial small subunit ribosomal RNA
Source: RNAcentral